RNAcentral lists this transfer RNA (85 nucleotides) under Felis catus (domestic cat). It matches the Rfam family "tRNA". From Rfam's summary of the family: Transfer RNA (tRNA) molecules are approximately 80 nucleotides in length. Their secondary structure includes four short double-helical elements and three loops (D, anti-codon, and T loops). The record is from Rfam by way of RNAcentral. Lineage: Eukaryota; Metazoa; Chordata; Mammalia; Carnivora; Felidae. RNAcentral also lists the same sequence under 2 other names.
GCCUGCGUGGCUCAGCUGGUUAAGCAUCUGACUUCAGCUCAGGUCAUGAUCUCACAGUUCGUGGGUUCGAGCCCCAUGUCGGGCU